Molecule: unclassified non-coding RNA, 196 nt
Filed under: rhizosphere metagenome
Description: partial ribosomal RNA internal transcribed spacer region
Source: RNAcentral
GUAGGUGAACCUGCGGAAGGAUCAUUAUCGUAGGGCUUCGGCCCUGUCGAGAUAGAACCCUUGCCUUUUUGAGUACCUUUCGUUUCCUCGGCAGGCUCGCCUGCCAAUGGGGACCCAACAAACACUUUGCAGUACCUGUAAUAGUCUGAAAAACAAACAAAAAUUAAAACUUUCAACAACGGAUCUCUUGGUUCUG